CAUCUUUAUGUAAAGCCGAUGAGAAAGCCAAACAAGCCCUUGAUACAUCAAAUACCGACAAAGAAAGAAGAACCAAAGAAGCGAGAAAAUUAAGAGCAAAAAUGGCUAUGCUCUCGUCCGAAAGCAAGGAAGAAUCAUCUAGAGAAAUUAUUUUAUCACGUCCUCCACGUCCUCCUGCAAAACAAUUCUUCCGCAGAAACGUACAGCAAAUCAAAAAAGGUUUGAACACGAAUCUCGAGAUCAUAAUUCUUCGUAUUCAAGAAGUGAAGAAAGACACAAUAGUACUGUACACCAUAAACUGGAAAAUGAAGAGGAUAUACCAAAUCGGCAUGUGGAUAAAACGGAUGAGAUCGGCCAUAUGCAAGACGAAGAGAGAUUACAAGAAAAAAAAAAAUGAUAAGUUGGAUAAGUCUUCAUAAGAUGCAAUUGUAAAUCAUUUAAAGAGACUGACAAGAGUAAUAGCGAUCAUAAAAUACAAUAUGCGGCAAACGCUUAGUAUAUUGGUUUUUUUGGUGAAAAGGACAAAUUCAGAAACAGAAGCCAAGAACCUAGAGAAUUCUUGUGAAAGCGUUGAAGACUGAUUUCUGUUGUAAACUGCUGAACAAUUAAUGGAGGUGGAGGAAAUCUUGAAACUUCAUAAUUCCUAAGAUAAUGUUGCAAUACAUAUAUCAAAUCCAUCGGAGGAACUAACGUCACUGAUGCCGUAAAAAAGACGUUGUAUAAGUUAUUCACCAAUAAAUCGGCGGAGAAAUAUAAUUGGGAAGGCCGUUGCGGAAAGGAACCACUACAUAAAUUGAAACUAAUAAAAAUGAUUUUUAGUUAUAGAAAAAUCUACCGGUGUAUGGAACUUGGGUUGUUGUGUGUUGAAAAUCUUCAUCAGCUGUUAGAGGAAGAUGAUGGCGCUGCAGAAGCGGUCUUACGAUCCCUAAACUGAUGGCUAGCACUAUCUAUAGGGAUAUUCCGGUUCCAUACUUUUACACCCUAUACUGUGCCUAGGAGUUUUUCAGCUACUUCCGAAUUAACGUCAACUGGUCGCAUGCCGAUAGUGCGGUGAUAACGCUUGUUGUAAUCCGACACCAGGCGCGGCAGUUCGUCGACUUGUGCGACUCAUUAAGUGUAAACAUAUGCCACAUAUUGUUUUUAAGUGUGCGAUUCCACCUCUCUAUUAUAGAUGCUUUUAAAACUGAGUAUGUAGAAUAAUGAUUAAUGUCAUGUUUUUUUAAGAGUUUCUGCACAUUGGCGUUGUAAAACUUCUUGCCUAUAUCAGUUUGCAAAUUUUUCGGACAUCUCCCUCUUUCUCGAAUUAUCUUGGCGAUUACAUCAGCCGUCUCGCGCCCGGCCUUGCUUUUGAACGGUACUGCCCAGGCGUAUUUACUCAACGCAUCGAUGAUGCAAGGACGGGAGAGCGCAUGCGUGAGCGGGUGGCAGCGGCGGUGGGUGGUGGUGAAGGAUGGCAGGUGCCGGCGGCGGGUGGCGGAUCGCGCCAGCGAACCCCGCGUUAGACUGCGCGCAUCCCCUCCACACACCACGAAAAUUCCUCCUUGGGCAAACUGCAACAGGAUGGGAGAGCGCAUGCGCAAGCGAACGAGAUAUCGCGCAUGGAGUAGCAAACGAGCGAGCGAGAGAGAUCGCGCACGGAAUAGCGAACUUUACUAAAAGAGAGAUAUCUUGCAAGAUUCGACAUGCCACUAGGCGACAACCGCGCACGACAGAAAGCUCACGUAACAUAAACAAAUCUAAAUAUUAUCUUAACGCAUCAUUAGAAGCCGAAGGAGCUGUUCGGCGCUUCUCUUUCUCUUGCAUCCACCUUGACCAAAAAUUAUUAAAGGAGAACGAGCAGUGGCGGCGGCGGCGGCGGUCCCGCGAAAAUAGCCGCACACACUCCACAAAAUAUUCGCCAUCGUAUCGCUAGUCUUAUUCUCCUCCACCCCCUGGUGAUGACAGACAUUGAAAGAAACCACCGCUUUCAAAAGUACAGUCAUACCACCCCCCCUCCCGCGGUGUGAUUUAUUAUGUUUAUGUAAACAGAGGGACAAGUACAUGGUCUAGGUUUACAAUAAAUGGUCAGUUGCUUCCACGCGGUACAUUUCAAAGAUGUCAGGUUUAUUUAAACAUCGGCCAAGAACAUAGUCCUUAUUUAUUUAAACAUUGGCGACGAUUAUCGCUAACUCUAUUUAAUCGUUGUCACUGUUUAUUUAAACAUUAGGCUUGUUUUCUAUUCCUGCACUAGACUGCACUGGAACGUUCCUUCUUGCUUUCGCUAACUUUGAAACAUCUAUCUAUUUCAUUUUAAGUGUACACUUAUUUAGAGAGUUCAGGAACAGAAAACAAACGGAUUGAUUACGCAGAAUUACACCGGAUAUCAUCCUUCCCCCGGUUAGGUUAACCCACGUAUCCCCGGUUAAAUCCUCCCUCGCCCCACCCUCACCCGGUUUGGUCCACCCGCGUGACCUUAUCUCCGGUUAAGUCCCUCCACACGGCGCAAAAAAUUGCCCCCUUUCCCCGCACUCCCCCUGAGAUCUCUGAGUUAGAAUCCGUUAUUACUAAUAAUUUCUGGCUGAACGGCUAGAGCACAAAAAUUGCGAUUAGAGCAAUUAAUUAGCACAUAAAGAGCACUAAAUCCUCUGUACGUUUCAUGUAAUUGUGCCCAUGCUGAUGGGCUAGCUUUAUAGACAUCUCCUUUCUUCAAUUUCGAUGUUAGAUAUUGUCCUAAAAAUUAUGUAUAUAAAUUAUUUUAUGUAUUAUUUUAUAUAUUAAUUGUUAUUUGUA
Solenopsis invicta (red fire ant) is the source of this 2769-nucleotide long non-coding RNA. RefSeq lists it as uncharacterized. The record is from RefSeq and is a predicted model, not a curated record. Lineage: Eukaryota; Metazoa; Arthropoda; Insecta; Hymenoptera; Formicidae. The transcript is spliced from 6 exons.